CCUACGGGUGGCUGCAGUGGGGAAUAUUGGGCAAUGGGCGCAAGCCUGACCCAGCAACGCCGCGUGAAGGAAGAAGGCUUUCAGGUUGUAAACUUCUUUUCUCAGGGACGAAGCAAGUGACGGUACCUGAGGAAUAAGCCUCGGCUAACUACGUGCCAGCAGCCGCGGUAAGUCGUAGGUGGCAAGCAUUAUCCGGAUUUACGGGGUGUAAAGGGCGUGUAGGCGGGACUGCAAGUCAGAUGGGAAAACCACGGGCUCAACCUGUGGCCUGCAUUUGAAACUGUAGUUCUUGAGUACUGGAGAGGCAGACGGAAUUCCUAGUGUAGCGGUGAAAUGCGUAGAUAUUAGGAGGAACACCAGUGGCGAAGGCGGUCUGCUGGACAGCAACUGACGCUGAGGCGCGAAAGCGUGGGGAGCAAACAGGAUUAGAUACCCUUGUAGUC
RNAcentral lists this ribosomal RNA (443 nucleotides) under uncultured bacterium. RNAcentral's name for it is "partial 16S ribosomal RNA". It matches the Rfam family "Bacterial small subunit ribosomal RNA", at positions 338 to 795 of the family's 1533-position model. The record is from RNAcentral.